This 2905-nucleotide ribosomal RNA is filed under the name Escherichia coli. Its description in RNAcentral is "23S ribosomal RNA". It matches the Rfam family "Bacterial large subunit ribosomal RNA". Lineage: Bacteria; Pseudomonadati; Pseudomonadota; Gammaproteobacteria; Enterobacterales; Enterobacteriaceae. The record is from RNAcentral. RNAcentral also lists the same sequence under 2 other names.
GGUCAAGCUACAAAGGGCGCAUGGUGAAUGCCUUGGCAUCAGGAGCCGAUGAAGGACGUGAUAAGCUGCGAUAAGCUUCGGGUAGGCGCACAUAGCCUGAGAUCCGAAGAUCUCCGAAUGAGGAAACUCACAUGGGAAACCCCAUGUAUCAUUAAGUGAAUACAUAGCUUAAUGAAGGUAACCCAGGGAACUGAAACAUCUAAGUACCUGGAGGAAGAGAAAGAAAAAUCGAUUUUCUUAGUAGCGGCGAGCGAAAGGGAAAGAGCCCAAACCGGAAACUUGUUUCCGGGGUUGUGGACAUAACAUAAAAGUGGAGGCUAUUGUAACUGAAGAGAACUGGAAAGUUCCACCGUAGAAGGUAAUAGUCCUGUAAGUGAAACGAGAAGACCACGAGUUAUGAUCCAGAGUACCACGAGACACGUGAAACCUUGUGGGAAGCAGGGAGGACCACCUCCCAAGGCUAAAUACUACCUGAUGACCGAUAGUGAAGCAGUACCGUGAGGGAAAGGUGAAAAGAACCCCGGGAGGGGAGUGAAAUAGAACCUGAAACCGUGUGCCUACAACCGCUCAGAGCCCCUUAUGAGGGUGAUGAGGUGCUUUUUGUAGAACGAGCCAACGAGUUACGGUAUGUAGCAAGGUUAAGUACUUAAGGUACGGAGCCGAAGGGAAACCGAGUCUGAAUAGGGCGACUAGUUGCAUGCCGUAGACCCGAAACCGGGUGACCUAUCCAUGGCCAGGUUGAAGCGAGGGUAAAACCUCGUGGAGGACCGAACCACGUUGCUGUUGAAAAAGCAUGGGAUGAGCUGUGGAUAGCGGAGAAAUUCCAAUCGAACCCGGAGAUAGCUGGUUCUCUCCGAAAUAGCUUUAGGGCUAGCGUCGAGUAUGAGUAGUGGAGGUAGAGCACUGAAUGGGCUAGGGGGCAUAGCGCUUACCGAACCUUAUCAAACUCCGAAUGCCACAUACUUUGAGCUCGGCAGUCAGACUACGAAUGAUAAGAUCCGUGGUCAAAAGGGAAACAGCCCAGAUCGUCAGCUAAGGUCCCAAAGUGUAAGUUAAGUGGGAAAGGAUGUGAGAUUUCUAAGACAACUAGGAUGUUGGCUUAGAAGCAGCCAUUCAUUAAAAGAGUGCGUAAUAGCUCACUAGUCGAGAGAUCUUGCGCCGAAAAUGUAACGGGGCUAAACUUACCACCGAAGCUACGGGCUUGAACUUAGUUCAAGCGGUAGGAGAGCGUCGUAACCGGGCUGAAGUCGUACCGUAAGGAGCGGUGGACUGGUUACGAGUGAGAAUGUUGGCAUCAGUAGCGAGAUGUGGGUGAGAAUCCCACAGGCCGAAAACCUAAGGUUUCCUCAGGAAGGUUCGUCCGCUGAGGGUUAGUCGGGACCUAAGCCGAGGCCGAAAGGCGUAGGUGAUGGACAACUGGUUGAUAUUCCAGUACCACUACCAUCGUUAUUAUCGAUGGCGUGACGCAGGAGGAUAGUGUGUGCUAGCUAUUGGAUGCUAGUCUAAGCGUUUAGGCAGUGAGAGUAGGCAAAUCCGCUCUCAUAAUGCUGAGGCGUGAUGGGGAAGGUUCUACGGAACCGAAGUACAUGAUUCCACGCUGCCAAGAAAAGCGUCUAGAGAGAGAAGUAGUGCCCGUACCGCAAACCGACACAGGUAGGUGAGGAGAGAAUCCUAAGGCCGGCGGAAGAAUUACAGUUAAGGAACUCGGCAAAUUGACCCCGUAAGUUCGCGAGAAGGGGUGCCUACGAGAGUAGGCCGCAGAGAAUAGGCCCAAGCAACUGUUUAGCAAAAACACAGGUCUCUGCUAAAGCGUAAGCUGAUGUAUAGGGGCUGACGCCUGCCCGGUGCUGGAAGGUUAAGGGGAACACUUAGCGCAAGCGAAGGUGUGAACUUAAGCCCCAGUAAACGGCGGCCGUAACUAUAACGGUCCUAAGGUAGCGAAAUUCCUUGUCAGGUAAGUUCUGACCCGCACGAAUGGCGUAAUGACUUGGGCACUGUCUCAACUGUAAAUCCGGCGAAGUUGUAGUGCGAGUGAAGAUGCUCGCUACCCGCGAUUGGACGGAAAGACCCCGUAGAGCUUUACUGUAGCUUAGCAUUGAGUUUUGGUAUUGUCUGUACAGGAUAGGUGGGAGACUAGGAAACCAGGGCGUCAGCCUUGGUGGAGUCAACCUUGGGAUACCACCCUGACAGUACUGAAAUUCUAACUGGCGGCCAUGAAUCUGGUCACAGGACAUUGUUAGGUGGGCAGUUUGACUGGGGCGGUCGCCUCCUAAAAAGUAACGGAGGCGCCCAAAGGUUCCCUCAGAACGGUCGGAAAUCGUUCGAAGAGUGCAAAGGCAGAAGGGAGCCUGACUGCGACACCCACAAGUGGAGCAGGGACGAAAGUCGGGCUUAGUGAUCCGGUGGUACCUCGUGGGAGGGCCAUCGCUCAACGGAUAAAAGCUACCUCGGGGAUAACAGGCUGAUCUCCCCCAAGAGUCCACAUCGACGGGGAGGUUUGGCACCUCGAUGUCGGCUCGUCGCAUCCUGGGGCUGAAGUAGGUCCCAAGGGUUGGGCUGUUCGCCCAUUAAAGCGGCACGCGAGCUGGGUUCAGAACGUCGUGAGACAGUUCGGUCCCUAUCCGUCGCGGGCGUAGGAAAUUUGAGAGGAGCUGUCCUUAGUACGAGAGGACCGGGAUGGACUGACCUCUGGUGUACCAGUUGUUCCGCCAGGAGCACAGCUGGGUAGCUAAGUCGGGAAUGGAUAAACGCUGAAAGCAUCUAAGCGUGAAGCCAACCUCAAGAUGAGAUUUCCCAUAGCGUAAGCUAGUAAGAUCCCUUGAAGAACACAAGGUUGAUAGGUCGGGGGUGUAAGCAUGGUAACAUGUUCAGCUGACCGAUACUAAUAGAUCGAGGGCUUGACCAA